This 253-nucleotide ribosomal RNA is filed under the name uncultured bacterium. RNAcentral describes it as "partial 16S ribosomal RNA". It matches the Rfam family "Bacterial small subunit ribosomal RNA", at positions 524 to 776 of the family's 1533-position model. The record is from RNAcentral.
UACGGGGGGGGCAAGCGUUGUUCGGAAUUACCGGGCGUAAAGGGCUCGUAGGUGGCCAACUAAGUCAGACGUGAAAUCCCUCGGCUUAACCGGGGAACUGCGUCUGAUACUGGAUGGCUUGAGUUCGGGAGAGGGAUGCGGAAUUCCAGGUGUAGCGGUGAAAUGCGUAGAUAUCGUGAGGAACACCAGAGGCGAAGGCGGCUACCUGGACAAUUGCUGACGCUCAGGCACGAAAGCGUGGGGAGCAAAAGGG